RNAcentral lists this unclassified non-coding RNA (1434 nucleotides) under Hevea brasiliensis (rubber tree). The record is from RNAcentral. Lineage: Eukaryota; Viridiplantae; Streptophyta; Magnoliopsida; Malpighiales; Euphorbiaceae.
GGCAAUCGUCUUCACUAUCUAUGUAAGUUUGCUUAAUUGCGUGGUGUUUGACAACUGGUUCUUAGAAGGAGAGUAGGAGUUUAUAGGAACAUGAUGUGCUUGAGUAUGUAUACUUGCAGAUAGGAUGACAGGCUGAUAGGGUGCCUCUGUUAAUGUUACCUUGUAUCCAAUAACUUUAGGUUUGCACAAAUGAUUUGACACUGUUAGUUUAUCUAUUAUUGUUGCCGUUUGCCUGGGGUCUUCUUUUGGUCUUUAGGUUCGUAUAAUUUAAGGAACUGACAUGUAUCUGAUUCUCGAGUUGUAAGUAUGGAUUUUGAGGCACAAAAAGUGGGAUGCAUAUUUUAUUUGGUGGUGCUUGGCUUGUUAGGAGCCCUAUGGGAGAAUGAUUUUGUAAUAUUGAGGUGCUUAUAAAUAAUCCAAUUAACUUUAGCUUUUUGCUUAAGAUAAUUUUAGUACUUUUUAACCUUGUAAAAAAGCUACUCAUCAAUUUUUUUCCCUAUACAUUAUAUUUAAAGUUGAAUUCUUCAUACCAAAGCUGAUUCUUCAAAUCUCAAUUGGCACCUUCAAAUAAUUUAACUUGUUGGACUAAAAAUCCAACUUAUAAAUUUUACUCUUAAAACAUUCAGCUUUCGAUUUUUAUUUUAUUUAAUCUAUUACAUAUUGAGAGUCUAGAAUCAUGUUUCACUGCAAAUUGUUACUAUUCCUCAAACUAAUGAUUCAAUUUAAAUUAUUAUUAGUAGGAACUUUUUUUAUAAGUUAAAGGUUUACUUUAAUGCAGUUAAUUCUAAUGUUGUUACUUGGAUUUAAGGGGUUAAUGUUUGGGUAUGAAGAAUCUAGUUUUGGAUUUGAUGAAUAAAAAAAAAUUUAUGUACCUGCCUCUUAGACAAAUUUUUAUAAAUAUUUUAAGUAUUUAUACGUUUGAUGGUAUUUUUGUCUAAUAAUUUAAAUUAUAAUGAAAUUUAGAAGUUCGGGCAUUCUGGUAUGAUGAAUUCAAUGGGUUUGGCUAGUAGAAACCAGUUCGAUAAAUUUUAUUGACAUGUUUCUUAAAAAUUUUAAAAUUUAUAAAUGUCUGCUCUAAUUUUAACUGCCAAAGUUUGAUAAUCUGAAUUAUAUGUUGUCUUGAGUUUUUGCAAGCGAUUAUUAAGUAUGCUUGGAUUUGCUUGAGGCCUCUGCUUCUGCUAUUGAUUUUUGAUAUUUUGUUGGUUUUUAUAUAUGCUUUAUAUUUCAAGCGAGUUGCUUAUUGAAUUAUGCCUUUUUAGAUGAAGGUGCUUCAAUCCCUAUUCUCCUAACUGUUUUCUUCUAUGGUAGAAUCCAUCAUGGAGGGUAGUGAAUAUAAAGAUUUGCCUUGUCUAAUUUAUAAUACCACACUGGUUACCAGGUGUUAUUGUAAUCCCAUGAUUGAUUUGACAGGUGUUGGUUCUUCUUUUUCUCACA